GUGGGGAAUCUUCCGCAAUGGACGAAAGUCUGACGGAGCGACGCCGCGUGAGUGAUGAAGGCCUUCGGGUCGUAAAGCUCUGUCAUCGGGGACGAACGGCCUCAGCAGGUAAUGGCUGGGGAUUGACGGUACCCGAGAAGGAAGCCACGGCUAACUACGUGCCAGCAGCCGCGGUAAUACGUAGGUGGCAAGCGUUGUCCGGAAUUAUUGGGCGUAAAGCGCGCGCAGGUGGGAUCUUAAGUCCAUUUUGAAAGUUCGGAGCUCAACUCCGUGAUGGGAUGGAAACUGGGAUUCUUGAGUACCGGAGAGGAAAGCGGAAUUCCAAGUGUAGCGGUGAAAUGCGUAGAGAUUUGGAAGAACACCAGUGGCGAAGGCGACUUUCUGGACGAUGUCUGACGCUGAGGCGCGAAAGCUAGGGGAGCGAACGGGAUUAGAAACCCGAGUAGUCC
This 449-nucleotide ribosomal RNA is filed under the name uncultured bacterium. Its description in RNAcentral is "partial 16S ribosomal RNA". It matches the Rfam family "Bacterial small subunit ribosomal RNA", at positions 354 to 796 of the family's 1533-position model. The record is from RNAcentral.